AUUGAACGCUGGCGGAAUGCUUUACACAUGCAAGUCGAACGGCAGCACGGACUUCGGUCUGGUGGCGAGUGGCGAACGGGUGAGUAAUGUAUCGGAACGUGCCCAGUCGUGGGGGAUAACGUAGUGAAAAUUACGCUAAUACCGCAUACGAUCUAUGGAUGAAAGCGGGGGAUGGCAAGACCUCGCGCGAUUGGAGCGGCCGAUAUCAGAUUAGGUAGUUGGUGGGGUAAAGGCCCACCAAGCCAACGAUCUGUAGCUGGUCUGAGAGGACAACCAGCCACACUGGAACGGCGACUCGGUCCGGACUCCUACGGGAGGAAGCGGUGGUGAAUUUUGGUCAAUGGGCGAAAGCCUGAUCCAGCCAUUCCGCGUGCAGGAUGAAAGCCCUCGGGUUGUAAACUGCUUUUGUACAGAACGAAAGGGUUUCUACUAAUACUAGGAGCUCAUGACGGUACUGUAAGAAUAAGCACCGGCUAACUACGUGCCAGCCGCCGCCGUAA
This 500-nucleotide ribosomal RNA is filed under the name uncultured bacterium. RNAcentral's name for it is "partial 16S ribosomal RNA". It matches the Rfam family "Bacterial small subunit ribosomal RNA", at positions 30 to 523 of the family's 1533-position model. The record is from RNAcentral.